RNAcentral lists this long non-coding RNA (1443 nucleotides) under Carassius auratus (goldfish). Its description in RNAcentral is "lncRNA (ENSCARG00000050880.1)". Lineage: Eukaryota; Metazoa; Chordata; Actinopteri; Cypriniformes; Cyprinidae. The record is from RNAcentral.
AUGGAGCAAGUUCUGGAUCUGAUGGACUGGUCUAUGGAGGUAAUCCCUAAUAUUCCUGUUUCUCCGCUGGUUCCGUCCAGCCCUGACUCCCCUGUAUACCCUCUCAGUCUCCCACUCCUACCUCCUCCAGUCAUUUCCUCUGCUCCAUUUCCGCUGGUUCCAUCCAGCCAUGAGUUUCCUGUUUCUCCGCUGGUUCCGCCCAGCUCUGAAUCUUCUGUGUCUCCGCUGGUUCCGCCCAGCUCUGAAUCUUCUGUCUCUCCGCUGGUUCUGCCCAGCUCUGAAUCUUCUGUGUCUCCGCUGGUUCCGCCCAGCUCUGAAUCUUCUGUGUCUCCGCUGGUUCCGCCCAGCUCUGAAUCUUCUGUCUCUCCGCUGGUUCCGCCCAGCCCUGUAUCUUCUGUGUUCCCUCCCGGCCUCCCUCUCCCACCUCCUCCAGGACCUGCUGGUCCCUCUGCUCCACUUUCGCUGGUUCCGUCCAGUCCUGAUCCUCCUGUCCUUCCUCCCAUCCUUCUCCUCUCUCCUCCUCCUAGACCAGCCAGUUCCUCGUCAUCCCUGCUGGUGCCAGUCAGUCCUGCAGCUCACCCUCAGUCCGCGCCAUCGGGGUGCGGUGGUUUGCCGCUGGACUGCCAGUCUCCAGCUCCGCCUUGGCGUGUUAAGGCCCUGUCUCCGCCUCCAGCCUCCGAGCCCUGGACUCCUCCUCGGUCCUUCGACCCAGCGGCUCCGCCUUGGCUCUUAGCUCCCUCGUCUCCACCGUGGCCUGUCAUCCCACCUGCUCCACCGGGCUCCCUCGUCCCUCCGGCUCCACCUUGGUCAGUCGUCGACCAUCCGCCGCCUCGGGACUCCACUCCUCCGGUUCCACCUCGUCUUUCCAUCCCUCCGGCUCUGUCAGGCUCCUCCUUCCCUCCAGUUCCACCUCCAUCCUCGGUCACUCCGGCUCCACAGCGGUCUGCCAGGACCCCGCCUCCGCCUUGGUCGCCUGAGCCUUCUGCUCCACCUAGGCCCUCCGGAACCUCGAUGUCCCCCUGGCUCUGCGGCUGUGCUGCUCCAUCUUGGGCUCCUCACCCACCGGUGCAGUCUCCGCCUGUCGGCCCCCUGGUGUCGUCGACCCUUCCUUCACCAUGGCUCCUCCCGCCGUCGACUCCACCUUGGAUCUCCGUCCUGGCUGGUCUCUGGUGGACCAUCUGGCUCCUCCUGCUCCUGUCUCCUCCCUGGCUCCUUCCUCCGUCUCCUCCCUGGCUCCUCCUUCUGUGGUCCCUGUCUGCUGGCCCCCUCCUGGGAGUCCGUCCUCCACCGGAACCUCCUCCCAAGUUCCCACCCACGCCUCCCCCUGUUGUUUCUACGGUGCGAGGACGCACCUACCGGGAGGGGGGAGUACUGUCACACCUGGACUCAUUUAGUGUGUUUUUGCCCGUGACCCAGUUUCUGUCUUUCCGUGUUUUGGUUUGA